UUAAAAAUUAACAGGUGCAGCGGCAG
This 26-nucleotide non-coding RNA is filed under the name Mus musculus (house mouse). Lineage: Eukaryota; Metazoa; Chordata; Mammalia; Rodentia; Muridae. The record is from RNAcentral.